ACACAUGCACAUAGUAUUACAACUGUUGAUAUUAGUUUAUUCGGGGGUUUCCCAUUCAGACUUUUUCAUUUAAUCCAGUUGCUGUUUGAUAGCAACUGUGUAGAAUCGUGCUAUAUCUGACUAUAUUUUAAGUUUUUUUAUAAUCGUAUUCAUUAAUAAUGGAAAAGCAGUUUAUCCAUGAUGCUGAAUUCAAAAGAGAAGUUAUAUUGUGUGCCAAAGAAAUUGGAAAUUGUGGAGCCAGUAAAAGAUUUACAGUUGACGAAAAGAAUGUGCAUCAUUGGAGAGCCAUGAAGAAAAAGUUAUUUCAGUGUAAAAAAAAAUCAUUCUCAGGGCCUAAAAAAAAGGAAAGUUUCCUGCAAUUAAUGCAGUUGUUUUAUUUUAUAUAAAGGAAUUAUGUGGUAAAGAUUUGCCAGUGAUAAGAGAGACAGUUAUGGUAUAUGUUUAAUGUAAUAUAAUUUAAAAAAAAAAAACUCUGAUGUAUUACAAUAUUAGAACACUUUGUUAAAUUUUUUUUAAUUUUGAUGUUCUAGAAUGUUUUGAA
Molecule: long non-coding RNA, 541 nt
Filed under: Androctonus crassicauda
Lineage: Eukaryota; Metazoa; Arthropoda; Arachnida; Scorpiones; Buthidae
Source: RNAcentral